AAAAACCGACACAGGUGGGUGAGUAGAAUAUACUAAGGCGUAAGAGUGAACCCCCGUUAAGGAACUCGGCAAUCUAGCCCCGUAACUUCGGGAGAAGGGGUGCCCCCCUUUGGGGGGGCCGCAGUGAAUGGGCCCAACCGACUGUUUAUCAAAAACACAGCACUCUGCCAAGACGCAAGUCCAAGUAUAGGGUGUGACACGUGACCAAUGCGGAAAGAUUAAGGCAAGCGGUUAGUCGCAAGGCGAAGCUGUGAACCUAAGUCCCCGUGAAUGUCGGCCGUAACAAUAACGGUCCUAAGGUAGCGAAAUUCCUUGUCGGGUAAGUUCCGACCUGCACGAAUCGUGUAACGAGUUGGGCGCUGUCUCAACGGGGUGCUCAGUGAAUUUGUAUUGGCGGUGAAGAUGCCGCCUACCCGUGGAAGGACGGAAAGACCCUAUGCACCUUAACUGUACUCUGUCACUGUUGUUUCGGUUUUCAUGCUCAGUGUAAGUGGGAGACUUUGAGGCAGCCCUUUCGGGGGUUGCUGAGUCGUCAAUGAGACACCACCCUUGGGGAUUGAAACAUCUAACACCGGUCCCGUGAAUCCGGGCGGAGGACAAUGGCAGACGGUUAGUUUUACUGGGGCGGUAUCCUCCCAAAGAGUAACGGAGGAGCGCGAUGGUUGGUUCAACCUGGUUGGCAAUCAGGUGACGAGUGCAUUGGCAUAAACCAGCCUAACUGUGAGACCUACAAGUCGAGCAGAUGCGAAAGCAGGUCAAAGUGAUCCGGCGCUUGAAAAUGGAAUCGGCGUCGCUCAACGGACAAAAGGUACGCUAGGGAUAACAGGCUGAUUUUGCCCAAGAGUUCAUAUCGACGGCAAAGUUUGGCACCUCGAUGUCGGCUCGUCACAUCCUGGGGCUGGAGAAGGUCCCAAGGGUCCGGCUGUUCGCCGGUUAAAGUGGCACGCGAGCUGGGUUCAGAACGUCGCGAGACAGUUCGGUCCUCUAUCCUCAUGGGCGCAGGAAAAUUGCGGGGUUCAGUCCUUAGUACGAGAGGACCGGGACUGACGCACCUCUGGUGUUCCAGUUGUCUUGUCAAAGGCAUCGCUGGGCAGCUAUGUGCGGAAGGGAUAAGCGCUGAAAGCAUCUAAGCGCCAAGCCCAUCCCAAGAUAAGUUUUCCCUGAAGGAUCGUGGCAGACUACCACGUCGAUAGGAUGCGGGUGUAAGUGCAGCAAUGCAUUCAGCUUAGCAUUACUAAUCAUCCGUUCGGCUCG
Molecule: ribosomal RNA, 1254 nt
Filed under: metagenome
Description: bacterial LSU rRNA
Rfam family: Bacterial large subunit ribosomal RNA
Source: RNAcentral